GUGAAUCAUCAAAUUUUUGAACGCAAAUUGCACUCUCCUCGGAGAGUAUGCCUGUUUGAGGGUCAGCCUAUAAAAAUCGACAUCGUUGCUGUUUCGCGGUGGCGUUCUUCGUAAAUUUUGUCAUCUUAAAUCCUUUUGAUUUAAGCGACUUAAAAUUUUCUUUUGGUUCCAUGAACGUUUCUAAUAUCUAUUUCUUUACACUUUUAAGUUAUGGAUUUUUACUAUACGUUACCAUCAUAUCGUAUCUCGUCCAUAAUCUUGCAUUAACUAUCCC
Molecule: unclassified non-coding RNA, 274 nt
Filed under: Glomus sp.
Lineage: Eukaryota; Fungi; Glomeromycota; Glomeromycetes; Glomerales; Glomeraceae
Description: partial contains 5.8S ribosomal RNA and internal transcribed spacer 2
Rfam family: 5.8S ribosomal RNA (bases 1-65)
Source: RNAcentral